RNAcentral lists this ribosomal RNA (1219 nucleotides) under Bacillus sp. (in: firmicutes). RNAcentral describes it as "bacterial SSU rRNA". It matches the Rfam family "Bacterial small subunit ribosomal RNA", at positions 57 to 1259 of the family's 1533-position model. Lineage: Bacteria; Bacillati; Bacillota; Bacilli; Caryophanales; Bacillaceae. The record is from RNAcentral.
GCAGUCGAGCGGACAGAUGGGAGCUUGCUCCCUGAUGUUAGCGGCGGACGGGUGAGUAACACGUGGGUAACCUGCCUGUAAGACUGGGAUAACUCCGGGAAACCGGGGCUAAUACCGGAUGCUUGAUUGAACCGCAUGGUUCAAUUAUAAAAGGUGGCUUUUAGCUACCACUUACAGAUGGACCCGCGGCGCAUUAGCUAGUUGGUGAGGUAACGGCUCACCAAGGCGACGAUGCGUAGCCGACCUGAGAGGGUGAUCGGCCACACUGGGACUGAGACACGGCCCAGACUCCUACGGGAGGCAGCAGUAGGGAAUCUUCCGCAAUGGACGAAAGUCUGACGGAGCAACGCCGCGUGAGUGAUGAAGGUUUUCGGAUCGUAAAACUCUGUUGUUAGGGAAGAACAAGUACCGUUCGAAUAGGGCGGUACCUUGACGGUACCUAACCAGAAAGCCACGGCUAACUACGUGCCAGCAGCCGCGGUAAUACGUAGGUGGCAAGCGUUGUCCGGAAUUAUUGGGCGUAAAGCGCGCGCAGGCGGUUUCUUAAGUCUGAUGUGAAAGCCCCCGGCUCAACCGGGGAGGGUCAUUGGAAACUGGGGAACUUGAGUGCAGAAGAGGAGAGUGGAAUUCCACGUGUAGCGGUGAAAUGCGUAGAGAUGUGGAGGAACACCAGUGGCGAAGGCGACUCUCUGGUCUGUAACUGACGUUGAGGCGCGAAAGCGUGGGGAGCGAACAGGAUUAGAUACCCUGGUAGUCCACGCCGUAAACGAUGAGUGCUAAGUGUUAGAGGGUUUCCGCCCUUUAGUGCUGCAGCAAACGCAUUAAGCACUCCGCCUGGGGAGUACGGUCGCAAGACUGAAACUCAAAGGAAUUGACGGGGGCCCGCACAAGCGGUGGAGCAUGUGGUUUAAUUCGAAGCAACGCGAAGAACCUUACCAGGUCUUGACAUCCUCUGACAACCCUAGAGAUAGGGCUUCCCCUUCGGGGGCAGAGUGACAGGUGGUGCAUGGUUGUCGUCAGCUCGUGUCGUGAGAUGUUGGGUUAAGUCCCGCAACGAGCGCAACCCUUGAUCUUAGUUGCCAGCAUUCAGUUGGGCACUCUAAGGUGACUGCCGGUGACAAACCGGAGGAAGGUGGGGAUGACGUCAAAUCAUCAUGCCCCUUAUGACCUGGGCUACACACGUGCUACAAUGGGCAGAACAAAGGGCAGCGAAGCCGCG